This 212-nucleotide ribosomal RNA is filed under the name uncultured bacterium. Its description in RNAcentral is "partial 16S ribosomal RNA". It matches the Rfam family "Bacterial small subunit ribosomal RNA", at positions 113 to 334 of the family's 1533-position model. The record is from RNAcentral.
CAACGUGGGCAAUCUGCCCUCAAGUGGGGAAUAACGCUGCGAAAGCAGUGCUAAUACCGCAUAAGCUUAACGCAAGUUAAGUAAAGCUAAGUGCGCUUGAGGAGGAGCCCGCGGCUGAUUAGCUAGAUGGUGGGGUAACGGCCUACCAUGGCGAUGAUCAGUAGCCGGCCUGAGAGGGCUGACGGCCACACUGGGACUGAGACACGGCCCAG